AGGAGGAGGAGAGGAGAAAGAGGAGGUCCCCCUCACCCGAGAGGAGAUCAAGAUCAGCUUCACCUCACGUCAGAUCAAGAAGGUAUUACUGUAUCAUGGAACUACCACACGACCUUAUUAGGAAAGGGCCUUCAUCACUAUUAAUAAUACAUGUACCUUUACUUACAGUUCAGUAUUUAUAGUGUCAGUGAAUGUAGUGGAGGGUCUUUAAAAUGUUAAUUUAAAUGUUGCUCUUGUUUUAGACGUAGCCGAAGCUAUUCUCCUAGAAGGAGGCGGAGCUUAUCAAGAUCUUAUACUCCUCCUGACAGACACAGAUACAACAGAAGUCGUUCAAGGUCUCCUCCUGAUCGUUACCAUAGACACAGGAGGUCUCCGUCACCUCACAAGUCGUCAAGACGAUCACCAGAUAGAGAGA
Amphimedon queenslandica is the source of this 415-nucleotide long non-coding RNA. RefSeq lists it as uncharacterized. The record is from RefSeq and is a predicted model, not a curated record. NCBI's taxonomy places the organism in Eukaryota, Metazoa, Porifera, Demospongiae, Haplosclerida, Niphatidae. The transcript has 3 exons.